Molecule: long non-coding RNA, 808 nt
Organism: Mytilus californianus (California mussel)
Lineage: Eukaryota; Metazoa; Mollusca; Bivalvia; Mytilida; Mytilidae
Exons: 3
Source: RefSeq, a predicted model, not a curated record
ACACUGUGGCUUUAUUCAUGUGGCGAACAUUCUUGUCUGAAUUUCCAAAGGCGGAUAUGUUGAGGGUUUCCUUUCCGUCUGGCUUGACGUUCAACUUGUCGGCUAUUUCCUGCGUCAUAAUAUGGGUCAAUAUCCCUAAUGCGCCUCAAAUUGAGGAACACAAAAUGUGUGUGUAAACAAACUAUCUCUGUGUAGUGAUAUUGGACAUGUUUCUAUUUUUAACAAGUGACUGAGCUUAACCAUUUGUGUUGAUUUUGAAAGUAGAGGACCAUAGAAUAAAUGUGUAAAAACUAUGGAGUUAUUAAAUGUAUUCAAAGUAUUAGAUUUUCAAAGAAUUUUUUAUGUGAAAAAAGGGAUUUUUUACCAGGAAGAGCCGCAUCACGAAAGGACUUUCGGGGUAUGCUAAUUUACGGAAAAAUGAAUCACACUUCGUACCCCAAAAAUUUAACCACAUCUGUGAAAAUGUCUCAGCUUCGAAACGAGCCAUCAUACAUAUCCAAGUUUACGAUAUGGACUGAGCUACAGAAGAAAACGUUACCAUUACCGCCUAUGGAGAAACAAUUGCGCAUAUUGCCCCAAUUUAUAAGACUGUAUAUUUGAAGUUGUCAGACUAAUUUAUGAAUGAUUGCAUCUUGUACACCAGAGAAAAUUGUGAAAAUGAAGUUUCAGACAUAUCAUUCCAGUUUAACCUGAGACGGCAAAUAAGAGGUUUUAAAAAGUUCUGAAUUACUGAAAUGGACAAAAACUCACAGUUUUAUUCAGAAAGUCAUACCAAUGAAGAUUACACAGGACUAUUGGGAAAAAUCAU